CAGGUGCAAGAGCUGAGGAAGCUACAGGGAGCCGAGGGUUGACAGCAGGAAGCUACAGGAAGCCACUGGUUGACAGCAAUAAGGCUCACCAGGAAGCAAACACAGGAAUUGGAAAGAGGAAAAAGUUAGCUGGGUGUGUCCCUGGAUCUGGCCCCUUCCCUGUAUGUGAAGCAGACUCUGCCUUCCAUGGAUGCAGCUGGGGAGGCAGACACAAGUUCCUCACCUGCUGUGCAGUGGCUUCAGGACAGAUGAAAGCCUGUCUCUGAUCCAGCUAUGCUUUGUUAGGGUUGUAGUAGUAGCACUUGGGAUACAGACUCAUGAGAACCAGGAGUUCAAGGUCAUCCUCAGCUACCUAUGGAGUUCAAGGUCAGCAGGAGCUAUAUUAUAUCUCAUUUCAAAAAGCCAAAUAUGGAUUCAAGUUAAAAUGAAACUAAAUUGGAAAUCUCAUUGUAUUAGUCAAGGUUCUCUAGAGAACAGAACUGAUAGAGUGAAUAUAUAUUCAUAUUAUG
This 509-nucleotide long non-coding RNA is filed under the name Mus spicilegus (steppe mouse). Its description in RNAcentral is "lncRNA (ENSMSIG00000029464.1)". The record is from RNAcentral. Lineage: Eukaryota; Metazoa; Chordata; Mammalia; Rodentia; Muridae.